GAACGCUAGCGGCAGGCUUAACACAUGCAAGUCGAGGGGCAGCAUGAGACGGAGAUUCGUCGAAGUCUUGAUGGCGACCGGCGCAAGGGUGCGUAACGCGUGAGCAACUUGCCCGUUUCUGGGGAAUAACCGGUGGAAACGCCGACUAAUACCCCCAUAGUAUUGAGUUUAGGCAUCUUUACUCAAUUAAAGAAUUUCGGAAACGGAUAGGCUCGCGUGACAUUAGCUGGAUGGCGGGGUAACGGCCCACCAUGGCAACGAUGUCUAGGGGUUCUGAGAGGAAGGUCCCCCACACUGGAACUGAGACACGGUCCAGACUCCUACGGGAGGCAGCAGUGAGGAAUAUUGGUCAAUGGUCUGACGACUGAACCAGCCAUGCCGCGUGAAGGUCACGGCCCUAUGGGUCUUAAACUUCUUUUGUAAGGGAGCAAUAAGUCUCACGUGUGGGAUGAUGAGAGUACCUUACGAAUAAGCAUCGGCUAACUCCGUG
This 490-nucleotide ribosomal RNA is filed under the name uncultured bacterium. Its description in RNAcentral is "bacterial SSU rRNA". It matches the Rfam family "Bacterial small subunit ribosomal RNA", at positions 31 to 507 of the family's 1533-position model. The record is from RNAcentral.